AACGAACGCUGGCGGCAGGCCUAACACAUGCAAGUCGAACGCCGUAGCAAUACGGAGUGGCAGACGGGUGAGUAACACGUGGGAACGUACCCUUCGGUUCGGAAUAACUCAGGGAAACUUGAGCUAAAACCGGAUACGUCCGAGAGGAGAAAGAUUUAUCGCCGAGGGAUCGGCCCGCGUCUGAUUAGCUUGUUGGCGAGGUAACGGCUCACCAAGGCGACGAUCAGUAGCUGGUCUGAGAGGAUGAUCAGCCACAUUGGGACUGAGACACGGCCCAAACUCCUACGGGAGGGCAGCAGUGGGGAAUAUUGGUACAAUGGGCGCAAGCCUGAUCCAGCCAUGCCGCGUGGAUGAUGAAGGCCUUAGGGUUGUAAAGUCCUUUUCGGCGGGAAGAUAAUGACGGUACCCGCAGAAGAAGCCCCGGCUAACUUCGUGCCAGCCGCCGCCGU
This 449-nucleotide ribosomal RNA is filed under the name uncultured bacterium. Its description in RNAcentral is "bacterial SSU rRNA". It matches the Rfam family "Bacterial small subunit ribosomal RNA", at positions 29 to 521 of the family's 1533-position model. The record is from RNAcentral.